UAGAGAAAUUGAUUUUUCCCAGAAUUUAUUUCUAUUAGGAAGAAAUUACAUCAGUUACAUAUACAACUUUCUUCAACAACAGUUUCCGUUCACGACUUGAUGCUAUUUAUAGAGAAAGGAAUUUUUCUCCGAAUAUUUUUAUUCAACGGAUGGUUUGCUUCAAUUACAUAUAUGCAGCUUACCUCAGCAAGCAUUUCGGUUGAAGGUAUUAAAACGUCGUGGCUGUAUUCAUCUAACAGGACAUAACGUACAUAAUUAAUUUGUCAUCAUGGCUAUUGAAGGUAGCCCUCGCAUGAGGUUUGAUGGUGAUGUUGAUCUGGUUCUGUACAAUAAAAGAUCAGAUAUAGAUGCUUUCUCCAGACCAACAACAGGAACCGACAUAAAAUUAGAAGAUGCGUUGAAUAAAGAAGCAGAUGUUAAUGGGUAUUUCAGAGAGGCUUGGACUAAAGCGGAACAAAGUGACAGGCUGUCCGAUCUUGUCCAAAAAUACGAAAAAACACUAAGGAAGAGUGAGAUCAAGUUAAUCAUGGCAUACACCUAUGGUGGGAAUACUGGAUUUUUUAGCGAAUUAAAUGAAGAUUUUCGAAACAAAAAACUAAUGGGAGGACGUUUUCCAAAUGCCAAAAGAAUUUUGCGUAAUGCUUUGAUUAAAUUGGGGACAUUUCAGAACAGAGAGGGUAUUAAGUUACCUGAUGUUCUUUACAGAUGGGAACCUAGUUCCCUUGCGAAGAAAUACAAAGACCAGGGAGGACAGGAGUUGCACCUAAACAUGUUUACUUCAACCAGUUUGGGGAAGGGCUGUACGCACAAUCAACAGAACAACAUGCUAGUCCAAUUCAAAAAUCCAGAAACUGGGGCGUUCAUAAGGGACUUUUCUUUCUACCCUGAUGAAGAUGAAGUAUUAUUACCGCCACUACAUGGGAAAAUAAAAGUCAAGACGGCAGCCGAAAAUGGAUCUGAAUUUGAGGGACCAUAUUUUUAAUUCUGUUUUGAAUAACAUGAAUUUAUCAUUCGGAGAUGCUAUUCAACUAUAUCAAGAAUAAAGUUCUCUAUUGAUAACAAAGAUAUUGGUUUAAUAUUUAAAUUUCAUCCAAUUAUUUUAUGGAUUCCGUGUUGUUUAGUUUAGUGUAUUGCUUGCCUGUUGUUGCAUUUGAAUAAUCUGAUUAAAACACAGAAUCCAUUUCGUUUCGUUUUUGUAGUUCAAAAUUUCGUUAUUCAUGUAUUCACGCGAUGUUGUGAACAUAGGCGGCCAAUCUUCUUUGUCACCCGAAUUCUCAGAAUGAAUCAACCAAUUUUCCACAAAGCUGUAAUUGUUGUUUUUUAUUUUUAAUUAAUUACACAAUUACACAAAAAUAUAAAUUACAAUAUGUUAAGCAAAAAACAACUUCAUGUUCCCCAUUCUCUGAUGUCUGUGCCCGCAAAACGGAAAUACAUUGCCAGAAAAAUUGGCUAUGGUUGUGGGGGCCAUUGGGAAUAUAAAACAACGAAACGAAAUAUAGAUAAGUAUUUUAAUCAGAUUGUAAUUUGAACUGCAUGUAUUUCUGUAUUACUUAUAAUUUGACCUGGAUGUAUUUUUGUAUUACUUGUCUGUUAUUUAGUUUGAAAUAUCGGCAGUUCUUUGAUUGUUUGCCUGUUAUUUUAAUUUAAACUAUAAACAGUAAUUUUAAAAAAAAUAUAUAUUUUAAUUGCUUUUAAUAAAAAUAUCAUUGAA
Molecule: long non-coding RNA, 1711 nt
Organism: Patella vulgata (common limpet)
Lineage: Eukaryota; Metazoa; Mollusca; Gastropoda; Patellidae
Exons: 2
Source: RefSeq, a predicted model, not a curated record